RNAcentral lists this ribosomal RNA (390 nucleotides) under uncultured Rhogostoma. RNAcentral describes it as "SSU rRNA". It matches the Rfam family "Eukaryotic small subunit ribosomal RNA", at positions 585 to 972 of the family's 1831-position model. The record is from RNAcentral. Lineage: Eukaryota; Cercozoa; Thecofilosea; Cryomonadida.
CCAGCUCCAAGAGCAUAUAUUAAAGUUGUUGCAGUUAAAAAGCUCGUAGUUGGAUUUCUGGUACAACGCACCUGGCCCGCAGCCAUUAGGCUUGUGUGCGCCGGCGCGCGUUUGCCAUCCUUCUAGAAAACGGGUCUGCCAUUAACUUGGUGGGUUCGCGAUCUAGAUCAUUUACUUUGAAAAAAUUAGAGUGUUUAAAGCAAGCAAUUGCUAUGAAUACAUUAGCAUGGAAUAAUAAUCUAGGACUUCGGUUCUAUUUUGUUGGUUUCUAAAACUGAAGUAAUGAUUGAUAGGGACAGUUGGGGGUGCUAGUAUUGGCCGGCCAGAGGUGAAAUUCUUGGAUUCGGUCAAGACUAACUUAUGCGAAAGCAUUCACCAAGGAUGUCUUCU